Molecule: ribosomal RNA, 468 nt
Filed under: uncultured bacterium
Lineage: Bacteria
Description: partial 16S ribosomal RNA
Rfam family: Bacterial small subunit ribosomal RNA
Source: RNAcentral
GACGAACGCUGGCGGCGUGCUUAACACAUGCAAGUCGAACGGAAAGGCCCUGCUUUUGUGGGGUGCUCGAGUGGCGAACGGGUGAGUAACACGUGAGUAACCUGCCCUUGACUUUGGGAUAACUUCAGGAAACUGGGGCUAAUACCGGAUAGGAGCUCCUGCUGCAUGGUGGGGGUUGGAAAGUUUCGGCGGUUGGGGAUGGACUCGCGGCUUAUCAGCUUGUUGGUGGGGUAGUGGCUUACCAAGGCUUUGACGGGUAGCCGGCCUGAGAGGGUGACCGGCCACAUUGGGACUGAGAUACGGACCAGACUCCUACGGGAGGCAGCAGGGGGGAAUAUUGCACAAUGGGCGGAAGCCUGAUGCAGCAACGCCGCGUGCGGGAUGACGGCCUUCGGGGUGUAAACCGCUUUCGCCUGUGACGAAGCGUUAGUGACGGUAAUGGGUAAAGAAGCACCGGCUAACUACGUG